GACGAACGCUGGCGGCGUGCUUAACACAUGCCAGUCGAACGGAAAGGCCCUGCUUUUGUGGGGUGCUCGAGUGGCGAACGGGUGAGUAACACGUGAGUAACCUGCCCUUGACUUUGGGAUAACUUCAGGAAACUGGGGCUCAUACCGGAUAGGAGCUCCUGCUGCAUGGUGGGGGUUGGAAAGUUUCGGCGGUUGGGGAUGGACUCGCGGCUUAUCAGCUUGUUGGUGGGGUAGUGGCUUACCAAGGCUUUGACGGGUAGCCGGCCUGAGAGGGUGACCGGCCACAUUGGGACUGAGAGACGGCCCAGACUCCUACGGGAGGCAGCAGUGGGGAAUAUUGCACAAUGGGCGGACGCCUGAUGCAGCAACGCCGCGUGCGGGAUGACGGCCUUCGGGUUGUAAACCGCUUUCGCCUGUGACGAAGCGUGAGUGACGGUAAUGGGUAAAGAAGCACCGGCUAACUACGUG
Molecule: ribosomal RNA, 468 nt
Filed under: uncultured bacterium
Lineage: Bacteria
Description: partial 16S ribosomal RNA
Rfam family: Bacterial small subunit ribosomal RNA
Source: RNAcentral